Molecule: ribosomal RNA, 468 nt
Filed under: uncultured bacterium
Lineage: Bacteria
Description: partial 16S ribosomal RNA
Rfam family: Bacterial small subunit ribosomal RNA
Source: RNAcentral
GACGAACGCUGGCGGCGUGCUUAACACAUGCAAGUCGAACGGAAAGGCCCUGCUUUUGUGGGGUGCUCGAGUGGCGAACGGGUGAGUAACACGUGAGUAACCUGCCCUUGACUUUGGGAUAACUUCAGGAAACUGGGGCUAAUACCGGAUCGGAGCUCCUGCUGCAUGGUGGGGGUUGGAAAGUUUCGGCGGUUGGGGAUGGACUCGCGGCUUAUCAGCUUGUUGGUGGGGUAGUGGCUUACCAAGGCUUUGACGGGUAGCCGGCCUGAGAGGGUGACCGGCCACAUUGGGACUGAGAGACGGCCCAGACUCGUACGGUAGGCAGCAGUGGGGAAUAUUGCACAAUGGGCGGAAGCCUGAUGCAGCAACGCCGCGUGCGGGAUGACGGCCUUCGGGUUGUAAACCGCUUUCGCCUGUGACGAAGCGGGAGUGACGGUAAUGGGUAAAGAAGCACCGGCUAACUACGUG